Molecule: ribosomal RNA, 279 nt
Filed under: uncultured bacterium
Lineage: Bacteria
Description: partial 16S ribosomal RNA
Rfam family: Bacterial small subunit ribosomal RNA
Source: RNAcentral
UGCCAGCAGCCGCGGUAAUACGCAGGGGGCGUGCGUUGUUCGGAAUUACUGGGCGUAAAGCGCACGUAGGCGGAUGAUCAAGUUGGGGGUGAAAGCCCAGGGCUCAACCCUGGAACUGCCCUCAAAACUGGUCGUCUCGAGUACGGGAGAGGUGAGUGGAAUUCCUAGUGUAGAGGUGAAAUUCGUAGAUAUUAGGAAGAACACCAGUGGCGAAGGCGGCUCACUGGUUCGGUACUGACGCUGAGAUGCGAAAGCGUGGGGAGCAAACAGGAUUAGAUA